RNAcentral lists this transfer RNA (69 nucleotides) under Rattus norvegicus (Norway rat). It matches the Rfam family "tRNA". Rfam says of the family: Transfer RNA (tRNA) molecules are approximately 80 nucleotides in length. Lineage: Eukaryota; Metazoa; Chordata; Mammalia; Rodentia; Muridae. The record is from Rfam by way of RNAcentral.
GGGGAUUUAGCUCAGCGGUAGAGCGCUUGCCUAGCACGUGCAAGACCCUGGGUUCGGUCCCCAGCUCCG